CCCGCUGAACUUAAGCAUAUCAGUAAGCGGAGGAAAAGAAACUAACAAGGAUUCCUUGAGUAACGGCGAGUGAAACGGGAAAAGCUCAAAUUUAAAAUCUGGCAUCUUUGAUGCUCGAAUUGUAAUUGAGAGGAUCUUCUUUUGAUUUAAGUAAUGAUCAAAGUUCUCUGGAAAGGGACAACAAAGAGGGUGAUAUUCCCGUUUGGGUCAUUACAUAAAGUCAGUAUAAAGAAGGUUCUAAGAGUCGGAUUGUUUGGGAAUGCAGUCCAAAACGGGUGGUACAUUUCAUCUAAAGCUAAAUAUAUACAAGAGACCGAUAGCGAACAAGUACCGUGAGGGAAAGAUGAAAAGAACUUUGAAAAGAGAGUUAAAUAGUACGUGAAAUUGUUAAAAGGGAAACGAUUGAGAUCAGUGAUGUGAAAUGUUCUUAAGCUUACCUUUAGGGGUUUGUAGUAUGAGCAAUUUACAAGUCGACGCUUUUUUUAUUUCUUGGAUAAGGCAUUAGAAAAGGUGGCUCCAUUUUCGAAUGGUUGCUUUAUAGUUCUUUUGAGAUACAAGAUUUAAGAGAAGACAGGUAGGAUCAUUUAUUUUGAUUCACGUUGACGAAAUGAUCUUAAACGACCCGUCUUGAAACACGG
RNAcentral lists this ribosomal RNA (638 nucleotides) under uncultured fungus. RNAcentral describes it as "eukaryotic LSU rRNA". It matches the Rfam family "Eukaryotic large subunit ribosomal RNA", at positions 24 to 664 of the family's 3401-position model. The record is from RNAcentral. Lineage: Eukaryota; Fungi.